CCAUGGCAACCGCUAAUUUAUGACAGUUUUUUUGUAUGAGUGUGUUGCCUUUUUUUCCUGCCUUCCUGCGACUCGCAACAUCUCGCCUUUAAGAGAAAUAACGGAAGCCGCGGCCGUUUCUGAGCCUUAGCAUCCAUUAAACACUGGAAGAGAAUGCUUUAAGACAUGGAGAUGGUCUACGUGGAAGGAUACUUUUCUACUUCAAGAGAUAGCGAGCUGAUGGAUGAGGAAGAACAUUAGCCCGUGUGGAUGAUAAUCUAUAAAAUAUCAAUGUGAAUGAAUUUAGAAUGGGAAGAGGGUAAGGGUUUUUGGCCAAUGGCUUACAGAAAGCCACAGCUUCAGUCGGAAGCCAGAACAAACACACUGUUCCUCCUGGCUCAACAUUCAGUUCCAUAAACAUUGUUUAAGGACCACUGAUUUGGCUGCUUCAGACCUGAGAAAACUAACCGCAACAUCUAUGGUGCACUCUAUCAUCAAGGACACUCAUACUGUGAAUGGUGGUUUGCAAACUAAUUGGCCAUGCGUAAUGGAAAAGCUUGCUUACCCUCCAUGCAUCUCACACUUGACUGAACAAAAAGUUUGGCAUUUCUAAGGAUUAACUGAUGAUUUAGAGUCAAAGUAGCCUGAUUUCCGUUAUGCUGUAACUGCCAGUUUUCAGGCAUAUCACUAUCAAGUUUGUAUUCCAUGAAUUUGUUAGCUUGACAACAGCCACAAAUAUCACUUUAAUAGAUAGUUUUUAGGAUACCAAAGGAAAACCAAAGGAUGCUUGUCUUUACCAAGCAGAAAACAUAUAGUAUUCAAAUUAAACCAUCCUUGAAAAGCAUUGAAAGCAUUUUUCGAUUCAAGUUGUACUGAUAAUAUUUGUAGUUAUAAACCAAUUAUGGCAAAAGCAUUAAAAUAUAUUAAAGUGCACAAUUUUCUUGCAAGAAAUUCAAUUGUGAAAUGAUUUGCAAGACCAGAGUGUGCCAUGGACACAAUAAACUGCUUUUAGAACAUGUUAUGUAAGCUGUAUUAGCUAAUCUGUCAGGAAGCCAAGGAGUUCAAUUCUGCUGUCAACAUGGUUCCACAUAUCCCAAUUCAAAUCAUUUGUAGAUUCACCCAACAGUUUUACAGCUUCUUUUGUCAUAUUUGGCUUCAUUUUUAAUCUGUUGCUACUUACAUUUUGUUUGUUUUUGAGGCAUUAGGUAGAAUUUUUUCAUCCUGCUUCCAGGUGUUGCAGGCACCAGUGGGUUUUCCACAGGAACUUCCUCAUUCAAUGGUUUAUUAAGAAGUGGAGGAUUAACUGAAGAAUAUUCUUUGUACCUGUUAACUGGCACCUGAAACACAUACAAGGACACCAACAGAAGUAAAGCUGAUAUGAUGGACCUGAUGAAACCACUAAAAUAUGUGCAUACCUGACAGAUUUUAAUUGCUGUAUGUCCUGUAUUUCAUUCUUAUGUAAGAACAAAUAUUUGGAGAAGGAAUCUUACAGUAUAGAACCAACUAAUACAUUAUAAAAUACAAGGAGUUCUCAUUUUCAGUCUCAUCUUUCAAAACCUUUUUCUGAUUAAAGUUCUUUUUAAGCAUUUA
This is a long non-coding RNA of Stegostoma tigrinum, 1569 nucleotides long. RefSeq lists it as uncharacterized. NCBI's taxonomy places the organism in Eukaryota, Metazoa, Chordata, Chondrichthyes, Orectolobiformes, Stegostomatidae. The transcript has 3 exons. The record is from RefSeq and is a predicted model, not a curated record.